AGUGAACGCUGGCGGUAGGCCUAACACAUGCAAGUCGAACGGCAGCACAGUAAGAGCUUGCUCUUACGGGUGGCGAGUGGCGGACGGGUGAGGAAUACAUCGGAAUCUACUUUUUCGUGGGGGAUAACGUAGGGAAACUUACGCUAAUACCUCAUACGACCUACGGGUGAAAGCAGGGGAUCUUCGGACCUUGCGCGAUUGAAUUAGCCGAUGUCGGAUUAGCUAGUUGGCGGGGUAAAGGCCCACCAAGGCGACGAUCCGUAGCUGGUCUGAGAGGAUGAUCAGCCACACUGGAACUGAGACACGGUCCAGACUCCUACGGGAGGCAGCAGUGGGGAAUAUUGGACAAUGGGCGCAAGCCUGAUCCAGCCAUACCGCGUGGGUGAAGAAGGCCUUCGGGUUGUAAAGCCCUUUUGUUGGGAAAGAAAAGAAGCAGGUUAAUACCCCGCUGUUCUGACGGUACCCAAAGAAUAAGCACCGGCUAACUUCGUG
This 492-nucleotide ribosomal RNA is filed under the name uncultured bacterium. RNAcentral's name for it is "partial 16S ribosomal RNA". It matches the Rfam family "Bacterial small subunit ribosomal RNA", at positions 29 to 507 of the family's 1533-position model. The record is from RNAcentral.